AUUGAACGCUGGCGGCAGGCCUAACACAUGCAAUUCGAACGAGUGGCGGACGGGUGAGUAAUGUCUGGGAAACUGCCCGAUGGAGGGGGAUAACUACUGGAAACGGUAGCUAAUACCGCAUACCAUCGGAUGUGCCCAGAUGGGAUUAGCUAGUUGGGGGGGUAACGGCUCACCUAGGCGACGAUCCCUAGCUGGUCUGAGAGGAUGACCAGCUAGAAUGGAACUGAGAGACGGGCCAGACGCCUACGGGAGGCAGCAGUGGGGAAUAUGGGACAAUGGGCGCAAGCCUGAUGGAGCCAGGCCACGUGUAUGAAGAAGGCCUUCGGGUUGUAAAGUACUUUCAGCGAGGGGGCGUUACUCGCAGAAGAAGCACCGGCUAACUCCGUGCCAGCCGCCGCGGUAAUUC
RNAcentral lists this ribosomal RNA (406 nucleotides) under uncultured bacterium. RNAcentral describes it as "partial 16S ribosomal RNA". It matches the Rfam family "Bacterial small subunit ribosomal RNA", at positions 29 to 526 of the family's 1533-position model. The record is from RNAcentral.